UACAGAGGGUGCAAGCGUUAAUCGGAAUUACUGGGCGUAAAGCGUGCGUAGACGGUCAUGUAAGUCGGGUGUGAAAGCCCCGGGCUCAACCUGGGAAUUGCAUUCGAGACUGCAUGGCUAGGGUGCGGAAGAGGGAAGCGGAAUUCCCGGUGUAGCGGUGAAAUGCGCAGAUAUCGGGAAGAACGCCGGUGGCGAAGGCGGUCUGCUGGGCCAAGACUGACGCUGAGGCGCGACAGCGUGGGGAGCAAACAGG
Molecule: ribosomal RNA, 253 nt
Filed under: uncultured bacterium
Lineage: Bacteria
Description: partial 16S ribosomal RNA
Rfam family: Bacterial small subunit ribosomal RNA
Source: RNAcentral